CCAAAGGUUCUUUUAAGAACCACCCACUUACUCCUCAAAAAGCAAU
Molecule: non-coding RNA, 46 nt
Organism: Danio rerio (zebrafish)
Lineage: Eukaryota; Metazoa; Chordata; Actinopteri; Cypriniformes; Danionidae
Source: Rfam